This 75-nucleotide transfer RNA is filed under the name Candidatus Bathyarchaeota archaeon. RNAcentral's name for it is "tRNA-Val". It matches the Rfam family "tRNA". Rfam says of the family: Transfer RNA (tRNA) molecules are approximately 80 nucleotides in length. The record is from RNAcentral. Lineage: Archaea; Thermoproteati; Candidatus Bathyarchaeota.
GGGCCGAUCGUCUAGCCUGGUUAGGACGCCUGCCUGACUCGCAGGAGGUCGCCAGUUCGAAUCUGGCUCGGCCCA